AGGGCAUUUGGUGGAUGCCUUGGCACCGAGAGGCGACGAAGGACGCAGCACGUUGCGAUAAGCCACGGGGAGCCGCGAGCAGGCUUUGAUCCGUGGAUUUCCGAAUGGGGAAACCCGGCCCUUAGGGGUCGUCCGCCGUCGAAUCCAUAGGCGGCGGAAGCUAACCCGGCGAAUUGAAACAUCUCAGUAGCCGGAGGAAAGGACAUCAACCGAGACUCCGUUAGUAGCGGCGAGCGAACGCGGACCAGGCCAGUGACGCAUCCGUCAGAACCGGAACCGUCUGGAAAGGCGGGCCAGAGAGGGUGAUGGCCCCGUACGGGUAGAAAGCGGAUGCGUCCUCGAGUAGGGCGGGACACGAGGAAUCCUGUCUGAAGAUGGGUGGACCACCCUCCAAGCCUAAGUACUCCUCGGUGACCGAUAGUGCACGAGUACCGUGAGGGAAAGGUGAAAAGCACCCCGAUGAGGGGAGUGAAAGAGAACCUGAAACCGAAUGCCUACAAGCAGUGGGAGCCUCCAGACUCUUCGGAGUCUGCGGGGUGACCGCGUACCUUUUGUAUAAUGGGUCAGCGAGUUCGUCUGUGUAGCGAGCUUAAGCCGGAAGGCGGAGGCGCAGCGAAAGCGAGUCUGAAGAGGGCGACUGAGUUACACGGAUGAGACCCGAAACCGAGUGAUCUAGCCAUGGCCAGGCUGAAGGUGGGGUAACACCCACUGGAGGGCCGAACCGGUGACUGUUGAAAAAGUGUCGGAUGAGCUGUGGGUAGGGGUGAAAGGCCAAUCAAACUCGGAAAUAGCUGGUUCUCCGCGAAAACUAUUUAGGUAGUACGUCGCGUGAACGCCGCCGGGGGUAGAGCACUGGAUGGGCUAGGGGGGCGCGAGCCUUACCAAACCUAACCAAACUCCGAAUACCGGCGAGCGCUGCGCGGCAGACAGACCAUGGGUGCUAAGGUCCGUGGUCGAGAGGGAAACAGCCCAGACCGCCAGCUAAGGUCCCCAAGUCGUGGCUAAGUGGGAAAGGAUGUGGGAAGGCCAAGACAACCAGGAGGUUGGCUUAGAAGCAGCCAUCCUUUAAAGAAAGCGUAAUAGCUCACUGGUCUAGACAAGCCGUCCCGCGCCGAAAAUGUAACGGGGCUCAAGCCACGUACCGAAGCUGCGGAUGUGCAAGCGAUUGCACGUGGUAGCGGAGCGUUCCGCAAGCCUGUGAAGGGGUCUCGCGAGGGAUCCUGGAGGCACCGGAAGCGAGAAUGCUGACAUGAGUAGCGACAAACAGUGUGAGAGACACUGUCGCCGAAAGUCCAAGGGUUCCUGCGCAAGGUUAAUCCGCGCAGGGUGAGCCGGCCCCUAAGGCGAGGGCGAAAGCCGUAGCCGAUGGGAACCAGGUUAAUAGUCCUGGGCCUGCCGGGAGUGACGGAUGCCGUAAGUCGUGACCGCUGAUUGGAUUGCGGUUGCGGCGAAGGCGUUCCAGGAAACAACCCCGGCGUAUAGACCGUACCCCAAACCGACACAGGUGGACUGGUAGAGCAUACCAAGGCGCUUGAGAGAAUGGUGUUGAAGGAACUCGGCAAAAUGCCCUCGUAACUUCGGGAGAAGAGGGCCCUUUGCCCGGGCAACCGGGCCGAGGGGGCACAGAGCAGGGGGUAGCGACUGUUUAUUAAAAACACAGGGCUCUGCGAAGUGGAAACACGACGUAUAGGGUCUGACGCCUGCCCGGUGCCGGAAGGUUAAGGGGAUUUGUCAGCGCAAGCGAAGCUUUGAACCGAAGCCCCGGUAAACGGCGGCCGUAACUAUAACGGUCCUAAGGUAGCGAAAUUCCUUGUCGGGUAAGUUCCGACCUGCACGAAUGGCGUAACGAUUUCCGCGCUGUCUCAAACAGUGGCUCAGCGAAAUUGAAUUU
This 1891-nucleotide ribosomal RNA is filed under the name soil metagenome. RNAcentral describes it as "bacterial LSU rRNA". It matches the Rfam family "Bacterial large subunit ribosomal RNA", at positions 15 to 2044 of the family's 2925-position model. The record is from RNAcentral.